AUACGGAAGAUCCAAGCGUUAUCCGGAUUUAUUGGGUUUAAAGGGAGCGUAGGCGGAAGUUCAAGUCAGUUGUGAAAGUCUGUGGCUUAACCAUAGAAUUGUAGUUGAAACUGAAUUUCUUGAGUGUAGAUAAGGAUGGUGGAAUUUGUGGUGUAGCGGUGAAAUGCAUAGAUAUCACGAAGAACUCCAAUUGCGAAGGCAGCCAUCCGGGCUACAACUGACACUGAGGCUCGAAAGUGUGGGUAUC
This 247-nucleotide ribosomal RNA is filed under the name uncultured bacterium. RNAcentral describes it as "partial 16S ribosomal RNA". It matches the Rfam family "Bacterial small subunit ribosomal RNA", at positions 523 to 769 of the family's 1533-position model. The record is from RNAcentral.